RNAcentral lists this ribosomal RNA (391 nucleotides) under uncultured bacterium. RNAcentral describes it as "bacterial SSU rRNA". It matches the Rfam family "Bacterial small subunit ribosomal RNA", at positions 29 to 416 of the family's 1533-position model. The record is from RNAcentral.
AGUGAACGCUGGCGGCAGGCCUAACACAUGCAAGUCGAACGGCAGCACAGCAGUAGCAAUACUGUGGGUGGCGAGUGGCGGACGGGUGAGGAAUACAUCGGAAUCUACCUUGUCGUGGGGGAUAACGUAGGGAAACUUACGCUAAUACCGCAUACGAACUAUGGUUGAAAGCGGCGGACCGCAAGGCGUCGCGCGAUUGGAUGAGCCGAUGUCCGAUUAGCUAGUUGGCGGGUAAAGGCCCACCAAGGCGACGAUCGGUAGCUGGUCUGAGAGGAUGAUCAGCCACACUGGAACUGAGACACGGUCCAGACUCCUACGGGAGGCAGCAGUGGGGAAUAUUGGACAAUGGGCGCAAGCCUGAUCCAGCCAUGCCGCGUGUGUGAAGAAGGCC